CCUACGGGGGGCUGCAGUCGAGAAUCUUCGGCAAUGGGCGCAAGCCUGACCGAGCGACGCCGCGUGCGGGAUGAAGGCCCUUGGGUUGUAAACCGCUGUCAGAGGGGAUGAAAUGUAUGUGGGCACUCCCAUGUAUUUGACAUAGCCUCAGAGGAAGCACGGGCUAAGUUCGUGCCAGCAGCCGCGGUAAUACGAACUGUGCAAACGUUAUUCGGAAUCACUGGGCUUAAAGGGUGCGUAGGCGGCUCAUUAAGUAGGGUGUGAAAGCCCCCGGCUCAACCGGGGAAUUGCGCUCUAAACUGAUGGGCUGGAGUGAGAUAGGGGUGUGUGGAACUUCCGGUGGAGCGGUGAAAUGUGUUGAUAUCGGAAGGAACGCCGGUGGCGAAAGCGACACACUGGGUCUCAACUGACGCUGAGGCACGAAAGCCAGGGGAGCAAACGGGAUUAGAUACCCCUGUAGUCC
Molecule: ribosomal RNA, 463 nt
Filed under: uncultured bacterium
Lineage: Bacteria
Description: bacterial SSU rRNA
Rfam family: Bacterial small subunit ribosomal RNA
Source: RNAcentral